Molecule: long non-coding RNA, 1361 nt
Filed under: Sus scrofa (pig)
Lineage: Eukaryota; Metazoa; Chordata; Mammalia; Artiodactyla; Suidae
Description: lncRNA (ENSSSCG00070018267.1)
Source: RNAcentral
UAGGCAUCUUUGUGUCCUCGCCGGCCACAACCUCCUCCCCCACCCCUGCCCCACACCCGGCCUGGCAGAGUGACCUUAAUGGAUACUGGAUUAAUAAAUAAACGUGCCCCCUUCGCCAAGGAAGCACAGGGCUGCGUUUGGGGGUCACUUCCUCCACAAGUAAGGUCACAGCGUGAAUUCUCCAUGCUGAUGGCCAAAGGCCGGCCAAUGGCAGGAACUCUGGAAGCUCUGCUGGCUCCCCUUCCCCCACCCUCCUCCCCACAGGAAUUCCAGGCCGGUUUCCCAGGGGGCUGCGCAGGCGGACUCGAGCGACCAGGACUUGGUCAGAAUCCCCUGGCGCGUCCCAAAUGGGCAAGGGCCGUUUAGACCCCACACCCCCCUUUUGUAUUCGCGCGUGUUCCCCCCCCCCGUGCACGUUCGCGGACACACGGCUCGCGCUCCCGGAGGGGGCCCUUUCGGGUCCCCACGCACAGCGCAGCUCGCCGAGCCUGUGCGCAGGUGCGCGGGGCUCGCCCCCCCAUUCGGUCCAGCGGGAUCCCCCCCACAGCGCGCACACGGUCACGCGCCCGGCAGGUUAGGGCCGCCCCGCCACGAGCCCGCGUGGAACCCCGCGCCCUGCCCGGGACGAACCUCUCCGGCGGGGACAGCAGCAGGUUCGAGUUCACCACUGCCAGGCCCGUGCCCAGCCCCCCCGCCGGUUCCCAGCGCCACGUGACUACAGGAGCUGCCGAGGGUCAGUUGCGGGCUCGGGCCGGCGGCCGGCGGCCGCGGCCGGAGGGCGGGGCGGGCAGCCGGGCCGGCCGCGCGGGGCUUCUCCCGCGUCCCCAGCGCCCCCUCGCGGGCCCGGCCUCGGCCGGGGGCGGCCGCCGCGGGCCCGACUCCGUUGCCAUGGCGACGCAGCCCGGAUUUUCCCGGCCCGGCUCAAGUUUCCCGACCCUUUGUCCCUUCGGAGGGCGUGCGUCCCUGGGCGACCGCGUGGCCAGACUGCGGUCACUCGACUAGACCCGGCCUCAAUGGCUUAAACUCUCCUAACUGGCCCGAACCUUCGAGAGGGCGCUCCCUGCCCCGGGUCGUCCCCUGCUCUACUCCCGCCACCUCGACCUCUGGUGGCGCUAGGGAAUCUGAAAGCCGCGGGGCCUGAGCGGCGCCGGACUCCACCUGGCCCGGGGCGCGGUUGACCCCAAAGUCGGCCUUCUGGGUUGUAAAAAGGUGGAGAAAGGAGAAGCUCGAUCGGGUCAACUUUGAAAAAGGAAUGCCCUCGCUUCCAGAAAUUAGCGGAGUGCAGGCAUUCCCGGCUCCGGCGGCCGCGGGGCGGUCUUCGCACCCGGGGGCGUUUCGCUUGGAAACGGACUGCAGCGGGU